UCGAACGGCAGCACGGGGGCAAACCCUGGUGGCGAGUGNCGAACGGUNGAGUAAUACAUCGGAACGUGUCCUGUAGUGGGGGAUAGCCCGGCGAAAGCCGGAUANAUACCGCAUACGCUCGAGAGAGGAAAGUGGGGGAUCUUCGGACCUCACGCUAAAGGGGCGGCCGAUGGCAGAUUAGCUAGUUGGUGGGGUAAAGGCCUACCAAGGCGACGAUCUGUAGCUGGUCUGAGAGGACGACCAGCCACACGGGGACUGAGACACGGCCCCGACUCCUACGGGAGGCGGCAGUGGGGAAUUUUCCGCAAUGGGCGAAAGCCUGACGGAGUGACGCCGCGUGUGGGACGAAGGCCUUCGGGUCGUAAACCACUGUCAGUGGGAAAGGUGGGUGUCGGCGCCAAUACCGCCGGCAUCUGACGGUACCUGCAGAGGAAGCCCCGGCCAACUCUGUG
This 452-nucleotide ribosomal RNA is filed under the name uncultured bacterium. RNAcentral's name for it is "bacterial SSU rRNA". It matches the Rfam family "Bacterial small subunit ribosomal RNA", at positions 62 to 507 of the family's 1533-position model. The record is from RNAcentral.